GGCUUCUUGCACAACUUUUUCAGAUUGAGCAUCCAAAGCACUUGUGGCUUCAUCAAGCAAAAGAAUUUUUGGGUCUCUGAUUAUUGCUCUUGCUAUAGAAAUCCUUUGCUUUUGUCCUCCAGACAAUUGAACUCCAAAUUGCCCAACCUGAAGUAAAGAGUCAAUGGCAGGUGUGCGGUCAAUCAUUUCAAAUAUUCUGGUAGCAGCAUCAGUAGCCUGGGUGAUAAAAGAGAGAUUUGGAAGCGCAUUCAUAAUGGCCCUGAAAAUACAAGAUUGAAGCCGUUAGUUGAGACAAAUGAGGGGAAAAAGAGAGAGGAGAUUCCUAGGGAAAGGGAAGCAUAUCAGUUCUUGCAAAAGUCUUAUAACACACAAGAAACAUCAAGUGAUAGACAUGUGGUUGCAUACAGAAAUCGAAGAAGGAAAAGGAGUAUAAAGAAAAGUAACUUACAAUCCUCCCAGAAUUACACAGAUUCCAGAAAUAAAAACAAGACCACCUUUUUCUCCUCUCUCAGUAACAAGUUUGCUACCAACCCAAGCCUGAAAAGCCCAAACAGCAUAAAUCAUUCCCAUGCUCCCUAUGAGCAGUCCCUUUGUGAAACCUUGUUUUAUGCCAAGCUCUGUACUUUUUUCAAGAGCAAUGCUGAACUUUUUUAGUGUUUGAUUUUCCCCAACAUACGAAUAAACUGUACGGACUGAUGAGAUUGCUUGUUCUGCAAUCCCUCCAGCAACCCUAUAGGCACCGUUUGUCUCAGCUCCCAAAUCCUUGAGCACCUUCCCAAAUCCAAUUCCAGGAAUCAAAAACAUGAGCGAGAAUGGAAGAGCAGCCAGUGCCAGCCGCCAAGAAAGCACGAAGGCAACAGGAAAGCAGAAGAGGAAUGAUGAGAGGUGAGCCAGGCAAUUCGGUAUCUACAUAAAAGGAGAAAUACAGGUGAUCAAUACAUGUUUACAGAAUGAAGAAGAAAGAAGAAGAACAAGGCAUGCCAAAGCCAAUUGAAAACCUUUUCAGCUAUUGUGUCUUGGAUUAAAUGGGCAUCAGACGAGAUAGUAGAAAUGACUUGGAAGGUCAUGGAAGAAUUAGCUUGACUGUCAAAGAAGGCAACUUCUUGCCUGAGGACUGACUUUAAGUAUUCCAUUCUCAUCCGAGAUGUCUGUCUCUCAGCAGUUCUGGUCCAACAAAUUCCUUCUGCAAGUUACCAGUGUUGACAAGUAUAUAUAAUCAUGCAUCAUUGGAAA
Non-coding RNA from Prunus avium (sweet cherry), 1233 nucleotides. The record is from RefSeq and is a predicted model, not a curated record. NCBI's taxonomy places the organism in Eukaryota, Viridiplantae, Streptophyta, Magnoliopsida, Rosales, Rosaceae.